Molecule: ribosomal RNA, 439 nt
Filed under: uncultured bacterium
Lineage: Bacteria
Description: partial 16S ribosomal RNA
Rfam family: Bacterial small subunit ribosomal RNA
Source: RNAcentral
CUACGGGUUGCACCAGUGGGGAAUAUUGCACAAUGGACGAAAGUCUGAUGCAGCAACGCCGCGUGGAGGAUGACACAUUUCGGUGCGUAAACUCCUUUUAUAUAGGAAGAUAAUGACGGUACUAUAUGAAUAAGCACCGGCUAACUCCGUGCCAGCAGCCGCGGUAAUACGGAGGGUGCAAGCGUUACUCGGAAUUACCGGGCGUAAAGAGCGUGUAGGCGGGUUUGUAAGUUGGAUGUGAAAUCCUAUGGCUCAACCAUAGAACUGCAUCCAAAACUGCUUACCUAGAAUAUUGGAGAGGUAGAUGGAAUUUCUGGUGUAGGGGUAAAAUCCGUAGAGAUCAGAAGGAAUACCGAUUGCGAAGGCGAUCUACUGGAACAUUAUUGACGCUGAGACGCGAAAGCGUGGGGAGCAAACAGGAUUAGAUACCCCUGUAGUC